GCCUUCCUUGCAGGGUCACAACUUACAGAAUAUAUUCCCAAGGGCCCUUGUCACACUACACAAUUAUUGCACCAUAGUUCCACAUUCAUUGCCAUGACAACAUCACACGGAAUCCUGAGAGUUGUGAAUGGCCCUUCCUUAAAUCAGAAUUUUCACAAUUCCACACAAUACAGCCAAGGCAGGAAAAAUGAAAUUAUAGUGCUACAAGUGCUGAGUACUGUGUUUUAAUUUGUCCACAUGGAGAAUUUAGAUUUGCAAGGGUUUUUCUGCUGUGCUUUCUCAUUCUUCAUGUGAACAAGAAUGGAUAAACAGCCCAGUUGAAUUAGUCCAAAGGCCCAUUUAGACUCAGAUUCUUUCUUGGAAGAACAGAAACCAAACCUUAAUGCAAGAAGACCCUUUCCUUGGUGUUUUUCCUGUGGCAGCAUUUGCUGACUGUUUUAUUCAUUUACAAUGGAGAUGAAGAAUAUGUGGCCCUUCAAAUGUUGUUUGGCUACAACUCCCAUCAACCUGAGUCAGUAGAGCCCAUUGUGAAGAUUGAUGGGGUUUGCAUUCCAAAUACCAUCUGGAGAACCACACAGGCUGAUAAGCAAGUUGGAUGUUUCUGCUGUUCAUUUUGCCAUGAUCAUAGAAAGUCCAGUGUAAGGGCAUAAUGUGAGUACUCCAGUGCAUUCUAUAGGUUAAUAAGCUAUUUGUUUUCAUUCCAUCUACCAAGGAUAGAAGGCAAAAAAGGCUCAGUUGAACAAAAAAAAGUUUCAAGAAGUGACUGAAUCCUUACCUCUCUGUUGUGUAUCGUGGCAAAUCCAAUGGUGCCUGGUGGUGUGUGUGUGUGUGUGUGUGUAUGUAUGUGUGGCGUGGGAAACUCCAUGCCUCCCAUCACCUGGUUUCCCACCUACCAGCUGUUAGCCCCCGCUUCUGCCAACCUAGCAGUUCAAAAACAUGCAAAUGUGAGUGGAUCAAUAGGUACUGCUUUGGGGGAAGGUAAUGGCACUCCAUGCAGUCAUUCUGUCCACAUGACCUUUGAGGUGUCUACAGACAACGUUGGUUCUUCAGCUUGGAAAUGAAGAUGAGCACCAAUCCCCAGAGUUGGACAUGACUAGACGUAAUGUCGUGGGAAGACUUUUACAUUUACCUGUUUUAAAGACAUAGAACAUAAGGACAACAGAAAGCGUUUGUGUGCAAAAAACCAAGGGACUAAGUUGUUUUCAUUCGUUUGUAUGUUUGUAUCCCACCCUUUCCACACUGAGUCUAGCUAAGAACAGAAUAAUGUAUAUAUGACCCUUGUAUCCACAAGGAAUACAUUCCAAGAUUCUCGUGGAUACCUGAAACUGUGGAUAAUAGCAGACUUUAUAUUUUGAUUAUACUUGGGCCAGAAGCAUACCACAGAAUUACACCAGAGGACUCAGAGAGGCCCACAAUCACUUUUUUGGGGGGAUAUAUUUUGAGAAUGGGUAAGUAAAACGGUAUAUAUUGAACAUAUGGAUAAAGGGGUUGUGUUGUUUAAAAGCGUCAAAGAACAAAACCUGGUAAUAUAACUCUUAAACAAAUCUUCAGUAUUAAAACAUUAAGAGCAUGUAAAAAGGCCUUAUAGUUGGACUUAUUCAAUCGAAGAUGCCACGGCCCUGAGUUUGCACAGUCUGAACAGGGCAGAUGACUAGGGCUGUUUCUAUACAGCCACAUAAUCCAGAUCAGAAUAUGGAUUAAAGACAUCUAGUUGCACUCUGGUGAGAAUCCACACACACCUUGGGAACCAUGAAAAAGGUCCCACAGCAUCCACAAAGCUCCCCUCAUGCCGAAUCGAUACAACAGAAGGACUUUUUUUUACUCGGAUAGGAGAAAUGUGCUGAACUGCAGCAGCCCAUCAAAUGAAAACCAGCAGUAGAACUCAUCUCCCAACUCAAAAACAAAAAGGGGAAAGCAAUUUCCUCUGCGGAAGAGGGGGAGGUGUUUGUUUACUUUCCUGAGAUCACCAUAUUUGGUUCCUUUAUCCAAAUUUUCCAGUGAUGGUGCUAUUUACAUGAAUGCUGAGCAUGUUCCUCUCAAAUUUCUACUCUGCAGCAUCUGUACAUUGC
This is a long non-coding RNA of Anolis carolinensis (green anole), 2069 nucleotides long. RefSeq lists it as uncharacterized. Lineage: Eukaryota; Metazoa; Chordata; Lepidosauria; Squamata; Anolidae. The record is from RefSeq and is a predicted model, not a curated record. The transcript is spliced from 3 exons.